RNAcentral lists this long non-coding RNA (1040 nucleotides) under Elaeis guineensis (African oil palm). RNAcentral describes it as "long non-coding RNA (EGUI_LNC026931)". The record is from RNAcentral. Lineage: Eukaryota; Viridiplantae; Streptophyta; Magnoliopsida; Arecales; Arecaceae.
GCAAGGACGUGGCUGAGGGGCAUCAAUUCUGUUGUCUCAUCAGUUGCAUAACCAAACAUGUGACCCUGGUCACCAGCACCAAUCUCCUCAGGGCGCUUCGUGAAAUGGCCAUGAACACCCUGGGCAAUGUCAGGAGACUGCUGCUCAAUGUUGACAAGCACCUUGCAGUGAUCGGCAUCAAGUCCAACAUCAUUGGAUAUGAAUCCAAUCGCCCGGCAGGUGUCACGGACUAUUUUCUCAUAGUCGACAUUGGCCUUGGUAGUGAUCUCCCCAAAGACCAUGACCAUGUUGGUCUUGGUGCAGGUUUCACAAGCAACCUUGCUGUCAGGGUCCUGUUCUAGGCAGGCAUCAAGCACAGCAUCCGAGAUCUGGUCGCAGAGCUUGUCAGGGUGUCCCUCAUUCACAGAUUCAGAGGUGAAAAGGAAGGUGUCCGAGUUGGCCAUCUGCAAUAGACCAGCAAAUUGAAAGAUCAUAUAAAUAUCCAUGGACUUUAGUUACUCUGAAACACUGACUGCUAUCUAUUAUAAUUCUGUUAUCAUAGAUUACAUGGACCACAAAAUCACAUAGAAACAAAAUCAUGGAAAUAUUAUAUCUUCAGUCCUCAUUUUGCUAAGUACUUCAACCACAUUGCUGAGUACUUUUAGCAUAUAUCCAACAGACUCCAAACAAAAACUCAGAUUAAAAUACAAAAUUAACUUCUGAUAUGGCACAAAUGUGCUUUACAUGCGGUUCACUGAUUUUAGAAUCAAGUUUGAAUAUUGGCAGGUAACAAAUAACUUCAUCAGAAUUUGUGAAAACUACAGGAUGAAAGCUGCUCAUGACCAAACACCAUAAGUAAAUUGUUCAAUAUCAAUCAAGGAUGCAUGUUCAUGAGAAGGAAUUACUGCAUACAAAAGCAGUCUGGAAUGACUCUGUGCAUGUAGUUCAUUCACCAAGAUACGAAGGAAUAAAACAAGAGAAUAUACUCCAGGAUAAUCUUUUAACAAAGCUGCUUCCACUUGAAGAUUCGUGGGAAUGAAAGCAAAUCAUUUGAAAGGAGC